Molecule: ribosomal RNA, 253 nt
Filed under: uncultured bacterium
Lineage: Bacteria
Description: partial 16S ribosomal RNA
Rfam family: Bacterial small subunit ribosomal RNA
Source: RNAcentral
UACGUAGGGUGCAAGCGUUGUCCGGAAUUAUUGGGCGUAAAGAGCUCGUAGGCGGUUUGUUGCGUCGGCUGUGAAAUCCCGAGGCUCAACCUCGGGUCUGCAGUCGAUACGAGCAAACUAGAGUGUUGCAGGGGAGACUGGAAUUCCUGGUGUAGCGGUGAAAUGCGCAGAUAUCGGGAGGAACACCGGUGGCGAAGGCGGUUCUCUGGGCCUUACCUGACGCUGAGGAGCGAAAGCGUGGGGAGCGAACAGG